RNAcentral lists this ribosomal RNA (433 nucleotides) under uncultured bacterium. Its description in RNAcentral is "partial 16S ribosomal RNA". It matches the Rfam family "Bacterial small subunit ribosomal RNA", at positions 29 to 507 of the family's 1533-position model. The record is from RNAcentral.
AACGAACGCUGGCGGCAUGCCUAACACAUGCAAGUCGAACGAGACCUUCGGGUCUAGUUGCGCACGGGUGCGUAACGCGUGGGAACCUGCCCUUAGGUUCGGAAUAACUCCCCGAAAGGGGUGCUAAUACCGGAUAAUGUCUUCGGACCAAAGAUUUAUCGCCUUUGGAUGGGCCCGCGUUGGAUUAGCUAGUUGGUAGGGUAAAAGCCUACCAAGGCGACGAUCCAUAGCUGGUCUGAGAGGAUGAUCAGCCACACUGGGACUGAGACACGGCCCAGACUCCUACGGGAGGCAGCAGUGGGGAAUAUUGGACAAUGGGCGAAAGCCUGAUCCAGCAAUGCCGCGUGAGUGGUGAAGGCCUUAGGGUUGUAAAGCUCUUUUACCCGGGAUGAUAAUGACAGUACCGGGAGAAUAAGCUCCGGCUAACUCCGUG